Long non-coding RNA from Biomphalaria glabrata, 954 nucleotides. RefSeq lists it as uncharacterized. The record is from RefSeq and is a predicted model, not a curated record. Lineage: Eukaryota; Metazoa; Mollusca; Gastropoda; Planorbidae. The transcript has 2 exons.
UUAUGUAAUUAUCUUCUUUUUUGAAGUAACUCUGUAAUAUAUAAGAUAAGAAGAAAUAAUUGCAGCGUGAACACUGCCUUUUGAGCAAUGUAAAGUGUUUGUGCAAGGCACUGCACUAAGCAAUUUUCAAGGCAAAAGUGAGUAAAUGGAAAUUCAGAAACAAAAUCUGUGUACAAUAUAAUUGUUCAUCUUAGUAAUUAUAUUUCAAAAGGAAUUUUAUGAAUAAUACCUUUUCUGCCCUACAAAAUUAAAGCUUUUAUUGAUACAUUAAAUUUUGGGAAUAGCUCUGUGGCUAACAAAUUAAAAUGAAUGAAAUAUUUGUGCUGGGAUAAUUAAAAGAGGAAUAUCAUUUGAAACUGUACUGUAUUGUACUAAUAUACAGUUGAGAUUUGGCCACGUAGGCAUGGGAAGGAACAUCUAAAAUGUGUAUAACAAAACAAAUAAUAAUAUGGUACGGUGGAUUCUUGUGAAAGCUUUUUCUGAUGAUUGAAAAAUAAUUUCUCUCUAUUUUGGCCUUAAGAAAACAAUUCACCUACUUAGGUUCUGAUUGUAUUAAUUGCAUUGUAAGUGAAUUAUUUCCUGCAGAAAUCUAUUACAUCAAAAUAGUCAACAUUCAUUUACGACAAGUUGGAGGUGGCUGUGUCAUCAUUAUUUAUUAGCAUCUAGAAGCUGUUACAUCAUGGAGUGCAAAGAAGAAUUUAAAGUUUUGAUUAAGGCUAGAAAUGAUAGAAGUUAAUGUUUCCCAAAUUAAUUCAUCAAUAUAUAAGUGCUAAAAAAGUUCUAAAAUUAACAUAUACCUAAAAUUAAGAUGAACCUAAUAUAACCAAUAACCAGAUAAUUGUUUACCAACACUCCCAUUUUUAGAGAAGCUAUAUAAUAAUAAUAAUUACCAAAUUCUAAUUACCUACAUAUUUAUUAAUUCCUAUCCUUGACAUUGUCAUGAUGAGAUUUAAU